GACGAACGCUGGCGGCGUGCUUAACACAUGCAAGUCGAACGGAAAGGCCCUGCUUGCAGGGUACUCGAGUGGCGAACGGGUGAGUAACACGUGGGUGAUCUGCCCUGCACUUCGGGAUAAGCCUGGGAAACUGGGUCUAAUACCGGAUAGGAGCCAUUUUUAGUGUGAUGGUUGGAAAGUUUUUUCGGUGUAGGAUGAGCUCGCGGCCUAUCAGCUUGUUGGUGGGGUAAUGGCCUACCAAGGCGGCGACGGGUAGCCGGCCUGAGAGGGUGGACGGCCACAUUGGGACUGAGAGACGGCCCAGACGCCUACGGGAGGCAGCAGGGGGGAAGAUUGCACAAUGGGCGCAAGCCUGAUGCAGCGACGCCUCGUGGGGGAUGACGGCCUUCGGGUUGUAAACUCCUUUCGCUAGGGACGAAGCUUUUUGUGACGGUACCUAGAUAAGAAGCACCGGCUAACUACGUG
RNAcentral lists this ribosomal RNA (465 nucleotides) under uncultured bacterium. RNAcentral describes it as "partial 16S ribosomal RNA". It matches the Rfam family "Bacterial small subunit ribosomal RNA", at positions 28 to 507 of the family's 1533-position model. The record is from RNAcentral.